UGAGGCUUCCGGCCACCCAGCCUAGCCCCAGCUGGAUUGGGGGAGAGCGUACCUGGGGCCUUCGGAUUUGGCUUGGGUUCCAGUGGUGCCACGUUCUUGUGCCUUCCCCACAGGGUCUUGGAAAACCGGAGGCGAUUGGACCGUGACUCCUUAGGGGGUGCAGAGAGGACCCGACGAAACAGAGAUCUGGGGGCUGGCUGGCUGUUCACCAUGGGCUCCUGAUGGCUCAGGGCCCUUCCCCAGCCUGCAAAGCGGCCCCAGCGGAACCCUCCAGCAGCCUUUUCCCCACUGCCUCCAGUGUGCCAGCGGUAGGAUGUCAGCGGAGAGGGCAGCGAGGGCUGCGUUUGGGAAUCUUCUUCACUCUGCAACGGUGGGUCCAUGGCGGAGGAGUCUCUGCUGCGAGACCAAAAGGUUCUGAACAUUGUCUGCCCACAUUCUGGCUUCAUCUUCCCUGGUCUCUUCUCAGCUUCGCCUCCAGGAACAUACUUGAGGAUGCCACACGUACACCCUCCCUUACCUUGAUUUCCUGGCCAGUCCAGAACCAGCAGCCGUCUGUACUGUGCCUAGCUUCCUUCCUCAGAACCUAGCUCCACGUGACCCUGUCUUGUCUCCCCCGCCCCCCCCCCUUUACAGUCAGGCUGGGAGGGCAUGAUGGGGGCAGGAUGCGGAGGUGGCGGGGUGGAAGAGAGGUUGGCAGUUCUGGCUUCUGACGAGAAGGUCUAGGAGGCAGUACAUACUUCUCUUUGAGCUUCAGUUGCCUUCUGUGAAAUGGGAACAUCUUGGAUAAAUGCUGGCUAGCAAGGCCCCCUAAAGUCUCCUGGUGGCCGGAGUGUGGAAAGACUCACUUAUGUAGGGAAGCUGCCACAAUUUUAUUGGAAUGGAUUUAUUAUUUGUGUGUGUGUGGAUGCUAUAGUGCUCAUAUGGUGAUCAAAGGACAGCCAUGUGGAGGUAGAGUCAGUUCUCUCCCACCUUUGUGUGAGAUUGGAGGCUGGAACUCCGGAUCGUACAUGGCAAGUGACAUUACCCGCUGAGCCAUUCACCAGCCCCUCCACCUUGGGAGUGGAACCUAGGGCCUGGGUGCAAGGCCUAUGCUCUAUUACUUAGCCACAUGCCUAGCCGUCUUUUCAUUUUUUAUUAUACAGACCGGGCCUUGAGCUCACGGCAUGUGUUGUAGCCCAGGCUGGCCUUGGACUCUUGGCUAGACGUUCCCCAAACCAGUGUUAAGUUAGAACUAAAGAUUGCAUGUUCGUGACAGUUGUAGCCCUCAUUGUGCCACACCUCCAGUCCUUGUUCUAGCAUGGUUAUGUGGCUCUCCUCAGAUCCAGUAUUUCCCCUGCUAGGCAGACAUCCAAUAGACAUGGCCACCAACACUGCACCUAAGGACUCCAUAGACCCCAGGUGUCCACUGACAGCUGGACAAAUACUCAGUGACAUUUCCACACCGAAGAGUAUCGUAUAGCAAGGAAAAUGAAUAAAUUCUUUAACUAAUGAUGUCAGACGAAUCACAGUGCGGAACAAAAGCAAAAGCUGAAGAGUAUACCCUGUGUGAGUUCAGUCAUCUAGUAUAGAGUCCUAACCUUUACUCAGAGUGAUAACUACACACACACAUAAAAAUCUAGUACUUAGGAAUCUGAGGCAGGAAGCUUGUGAGUUCAAGGGGGAGCCAGGGCUCUCCUGCAAGACCCUGUAUCAAAGAAUAAAAAAACUAAAGAAGAAAGAAAGAAGGAAAGAAAGUAAGAAAGAAAGAGAGAAAGAAAGAAAGAGAAAGGAAGGAAGGAAGAAAAAAAAGAAAGAAAGAAAGAAAG
This 1805-nucleotide long non-coding RNA is filed under the name Mus musculus (house mouse). Its description in RNAcentral is "RIKEN cDNA A530088E08 gene". The record is from RNAcentral. Lineage: Eukaryota; Metazoa; Chordata; Mammalia; Rodentia; Muridae.